This 29-nucleotide small RNA is filed under the name Bombyx mori (domestic silkworm). Its description in RNAcentral is "ovarian small RNA-5140". The record is from RNAcentral. Lineage: Eukaryota; Metazoa; Arthropoda; Insecta; Lepidoptera; Bombycidae.
GAGCCGAAAAGUGAGGCAUCCUCUGUCAC